RNAcentral lists this ribosomal RNA (156 nucleotides) under Hanseniaspora sp. NCYC D4155. RNAcentral describes it as "5.8S ribosomal RNA". It matches the Rfam family "5.8S ribosomal RNA". Rfam says of the family: 5.8S ribosomal RNA (5.8S rRNA) is a component of the large subunit of the eukaryotic ribosome. The record is from RNAcentral. Lineage: Eukaryota; Fungi; Ascomycota; Saccharomycetes; Saccharomycodales; Saccharomycodaceae.
AAACUUUCAACAACGGAUCUCUUGGUUCUCGCAUCGAUGAAGAACGUAGCGAAUUGCGAUAAGUAAUGUGAAUUGCAGAUACUCGUGAAUCAUUGAAUUUUUGAACGCACAUUGCGCUCUCAGGUAUUCCUGGGAGCAUGCCUGUUUGAGCGUCAU